CAAGUUAGUCGGGUGAUCGCGGGGUGUUAUUACCUCGAGGAAAGUCCGCACUCCAUAGGGCACGGUGCCGGCUAACGGCCGGGCGGGGCAACCCGACAGCAAGUGCAACAGAGAGGUACAGUACCAGAAUGGGGUUCGCCCCAUCUGGUGAGGGUGAAACGGUGGUGUAAGAGACCACCGGCGAUAGCAGUAAUGUUAUCGGCCAGGCAAACCUCACCGGGAGCAAGGUCAAGCAGGGCGAAAUCCGGUCUCUGACCGGUGCGAGGCGGCUCGUCUCGCGGUACGUCCGGGUAGACUGCUAGAGUGACCCAGUAAUGGUUCACCCAGAGAGAUGAUCACCACCCGCGCCAGCGGGUACAGAAUGCGGCUUAUAGACUGGCUUGAGAC
Molecule: RNase P RNA, 387 nt
Filed under: Chloroflexota bacterium
Lineage: Bacteria; Bacillati; Chloroflexota
Also listed under: 1 other name
Description: Chloroflexi bacterium (wastewater metagenome) RNase P RNA component class A
Rfam family: Bacterial RNase P class A
About the family: Ribonuclease P (RNase P) is a ubiquitous endoribonuclease, found in archaea, bacteria and eukarya as well as chloroplasts and mitochondria.
Source: RNAcentral